Molecule: long non-coding RNA, 1571 nt
Organism: Bos grunniens (domestic yak)
Lineage: Eukaryota; Metazoa; Chordata; Mammalia; Artiodactyla; Bovidae
Source: Ensembl
AUGGUAAAGCGUCUGCUGCAAUUUGGGAGACCCAGGUUCGAUCCCUCAGUCAGGAAGAUCUUCUGGAGAAGGAAAUGGCAACCCACUCCAGUACUCUUGCCUGGAAAAUUCCAUGGAUGGAGGAGACUGGUGGGCUACAGUCCAUGGGGUCGCAAAGAGUCGGACACGACUGAGCGACUUCACUUUCACUUUCUUUUCAUGGAAACCGACUGGCAUGCUUUCUACUCUCAUUUUUGCCUGUGGUCUCUUGUGCUCACAGAUCUUUGCUCCUCUGGGUGUAAUUUCUAUUUCCUAGAAUUGGAAGAUGUUGAUGAUAGGAGAUAAGAUCUUAUAAUCAAGCCAGGAGUAUUCAAUGGCACCAUGAUUUUGGACUGCAUGUAGAUGAGAACUUGCUUGGAUUCAGCAUUCAUGUCUUUGGUAUACUCUGUGUUCUUGAACCUUGAAUAUGACUCCUUAGAGGAGAGGACCUUGAGGCUGGGGUCUGAGCCAGGACUGUCUCACCUUACAGUCAGCUCUCCCCAUCACACAACACUGACAGCAUCUUCUCUUUCACUCUGCUCUUGUCCCUGUCCGGCAUGUGCAUCAUUUUAAUACAUGCAUAAUCAUAUCACACUAUGUAUUUGAUUAUCACACUGCUAGAGACAAUGGACCCUUCCUACUGAAGACCUUGACAUAUUCAUAGUGUACAAAACAGUUAAUGUUUACAAUACUUCAGGCUUGGUUCCUCUUCCUACGAAACCUGCUUGGAGUUUGAAAACUUUAACUCUUGUUCCAGAACUGUGUGGGGCUGAUAGAAUUGAGAAGGUUUCAAAUGUAGAGGCAUCUGCUGUUUCCUUGACAAACAUCUCAUCUCAUAAUUCAAAUGACUUUAAGUUUUUGAGUGGUACACUUGUGAUAUACUAUGCAUACUAAGUUGCUUCAGUCAUGUCUGACCCUUUGCAACUCUAUAGACCAUAGCCCACCAGACUUCUCUGUCCAUGGGUUUCUCCAGGCAAGAAUACUGGAGUGGGUUGCUGUGACCUCCUCCAGGGGAUCUUCCUGACUCGGGGAUCAAACCCACAUAUCCUGUGUCUCCUACAUUGGCAGGCGGGUUCUUAUUACUAGCACCGCCUGGGAAGUCACUAUCAGUCAGUUCAGUUCAGUCGCUCAGUCGUAUCCGACUCUCUGUGACCCCGUGAAUCGCAGCACGCCAGGCCUCCCUGUCCAUCACCAACUCCCGGAGUUCACCCAGACUCACAUCCAUCGAGUCGGUGAUGCCAUCCAGCCAUCUCAUCCUCUGUCAUCCCCUUCUCCUCCUUCCCCCAAUCCCUCCCAGCAUCACAGUCUUUUCCAAUGAGUCAACUCUUUGCAUGAGGUGGCCAAAGUAUUGGAGUUUGACUUUCAUCUAAAUUUCAAAAACCCAUUUAUGUUUAUUAAUGAUAUUUAACACUGAGCUGAGUGCCAAAGAACUGAUACUUUUGAACUGUGUUGCUGGAGAAGACUCUUGAGAGUCACUUGAACUGCAAUGAGAUCAGAUCAGAUCAGUCAAUUCUAAAGGAAAUCAACCCUGAAUAUUUAUUGGAAGGACUGAU